UGGCUGUAGCCAAAUGAAUUCGAUUAGAGAAGCUAUCUGGCCGGUUGUUGUGAGAUCCAUUUUGGUUCUCUGUCAACAAAUCUGCUUACCGAGCUUCUUACAUUU
Small nucleolar RNA from Gastrolobium bilobum, 105 nucleotides. RefSeq annotates it as small nucleolar RNA snoR109. The transcript has a single exon. NCBI's taxonomy places the organism in Eukaryota, Viridiplantae, Streptophyta, Magnoliopsida, Fabales, Fabaceae. The record is from RefSeq and is a predicted model, not a curated record.